GGAUGUGAGGGCGAUCUGGCUGCGACAUCUGUCACCCCAUUGAUCGCCAGGGUUGAUUCGGCUGAUCUGGCUGGCUAGGCGGGUGUCCCCUUCCUCCCUCACCGCUCCAUGUGCGUCCCUCCCGAAGCUGCGCGCUCGGUCAAAGAGGACGACCUUCCCCGAUAGAGGAGAGGACCGUUCUUCGGUCAAGGGUAUACGAGUAGCUGCGCUCCCCUGCUAGAACCUCCAAACAAGCUCUUAAAAAGGAGGAUUCUGAACACAGAGGACAAGAAAAAGUAAGAAACUUCUCUGGUUCCCAUUAGA
This is an unclassified non-coding RNA of Mustela putorius furo (domestic ferret), 303 nucleotides long. Its record names the gene 7SK. It matches the Rfam family "7SK RNA". From Rfam's summary of the family: 7SK was discovered as an abundant small nuclear RNA in the mid-70s but a possible function has only recently been suggested. Two independent studies have found that 7SK RNA binds the CDK9/cyclin T complex (known as elongation factor P-TEFb). The record is from Ensembl. NCBI's taxonomy places the organism in Eukaryota, Metazoa, Chordata, Mammalia, Carnivora, Mustelidae.